This 74-nucleotide transfer RNA is filed under the name Epinephelus polyphekadion. RNAcentral's name for it is "tRNA-Thr". It matches the Rfam family "tRNA". From Rfam's summary of the family: Transfer RNA (tRNA) molecules are approximately 80 nucleotides in length. Their secondary structure includes four short double-helical elements and three loops (D, anti-codon, and T loops). The record is from RNAcentral. Lineage: Eukaryota; Metazoa; Chordata; Actinopteri; Perciformes; Serranidae.
GUACUAGUAGUUCAGAAGCCAAGAACGCCGGUCUUGUAAACCGGAGGCCGGGAGUUGAAGCCUCCCCUUGUACU